AAAAAAAUAAUACGUUUAACAUUUUUACAAUUUAAUUCGACGGACCACGAGUAGAAUUUUCAAGCAUUUCUGCUCGGCCAAAAAUAAUUUCAUCCAAAUAAAACCAAUACGAAAACCGAAAAAAAUAUCGAAUGCCUAUAAACCGCACGAUAAUAGCCGGAACCGUUUGAAAAAUUCAAACGUCUUUUCGGUUAUUUUCAACCGAAUCGCAACAAACACGCAAAACCGAAAGUAACG
Non-coding RNA from Cinara cedri, 237 nucleotides. The record is from the annotation of a GenBank genome assembly. NCBI's taxonomy places the organism in Eukaryota, Metazoa, Arthropoda, Insecta, Hemiptera, Aphididae.